Long non-coding RNA from Priapulus caudatus, 771 nucleotides. RefSeq lists it as uncharacterized. The transcript has 7 exons. NCBI's taxonomy places the organism in Eukaryota, Metazoa, Priapulida, Priapulimorpha, Priapulimorphida, Priapulidae. The record is from RefSeq and is a predicted model, not a curated record.
UGUGUUUUGGGCAGCACUGUUAAGAACAAGCUCCCCUGUGUGUUGGUUUGUCUGCUUCUAAUUUCCCAGCUACGACAGCAGACACGUCCUGGCAAGCAGUGUUAUUCCGGUUGCGCACACGCCGCAUUUGUGGACCGAAUGAUGUGUAAAUGAUUGAUGACUCACAAUGCCUCAGAUGACAGCUCUCGAAAGGAACGGCCAAGAGUAAAGACUUGAUUUCGACAUUUCCAUGAAGAAUCGCUGACGGGCCACCACUCCGAUUAAAGGAACUGCUAAGAACAAAGGUAAAUGAUUGAUGACUCACAAUGCCUCCUACGACAGCUCUCCGGUUCAAGGAACUGCUAAGAGUAAAGACUUGAUAUUGACAUUUCCAUGGAGAAUCGCUGAUGGGCCACCACUCCGAUUAAAGGAACUGCUAAGAACAAAGUGCGAGGAUCUCUCCUACACCCUGGUAGAGGAAUGCCGCAGAAGAGAAGCAGGAGCGGAGGAUCGAGGUAGAGGGAGCAUGAUAUACGCACGCCGAUUCGUCUCGGGUGACUUCCAAGACAAACCAUUGUAACCGUUUACAGUACUUUAUACUGAUAUUGGUUCCACGUGUUUUUUUAGAAAAAAUUGUUGUAUUUUAUACUAAUCUUUUAUUGUAAGUUUAGUCCCAUAUGUAUGAGCAUGACUGUGGUUUCGCGUUUUAUGUCUACGCCUGCGGCCCGUUGUCAGAACAACUAGCACUAGAACUAGUACAACUAGCUAUAGAACUAGAACAACUAGCUCUGG